RNAcentral lists this ribosomal RNA (808 nucleotides) under uncultured bacterium. RNAcentral's name for it is "bacterial SSU rRNA". It matches the Rfam family "Bacterial small subunit ribosomal RNA", at positions 100 to 928 of the family's 1533-position model. The record is from RNAcentral.
GACGGGUGAGUAACGCGUGGGUAACCUGCCUCAUACAGGGGGAUAACAGUCGGAAACGGCUGCUAAAACCGCAUAAGCAUACAGUAUCGCAUGGUACAGUGUGAAAAUAUUUAUAGGUAUGAGAUGGGCCCGCGUCUGAUUAGCUAGUUGGUGAGAUAAAAGCUUACCAAGGCGACGAUCAGUAGCCGGCUUGAGAGAGUGACCGGCCACAUUGGGACUGAGACACGGCCCAAACUCCUACGGGAGGCAGCAGUGGGGAAUAUUGCACAAUGGGGGAAACCCUGAUGCAGCGACGCCGCGUGAGUGAAGAAGUAUUUCGGUAUGUAAAGCUCUAUCAGCAGGGAAGAAAUUGACGGUACCUGACUAAGAAGCCCCGGCUAACUACGUGCCAGCAGCCGCGGUAAUACGUAGGGGGCAAGCGUUAUCCGGAUUUACUGGGUGUAAAGGGAGCGUAGGUGGCAUAUCAAGUCAGAUGUGAAAGCCCGGGGCUCAACCCCGGGAUUGCAUUUGAAACUGGUAUGCUAGAGUGCAGGAGAGGUAAGUGGAAUUCCUAGUGUAGCGGUGAAAUGCGUAGAUAUUAGGAGGAACACCAGUGGCGAAGGCGGCUUACUGGACUGUAACUGACACUGAGGCUCGAAAGCGUGGGGAGCAAACAGGAUUAGAUACCCUGGUAGUCCACGCCGUAAACGAUGAUACUAGGUGUCGGGGGUCAAAAGACCUUCGGUGCCGUCGCAAACGCAUUAAGUAUUCCACCUGGGGAGUACGUUCGCAAGAAUGAACUCAAAGGAAUUGACGGGGACCCGCACAA